Molecule: small nuclear RNA, 102 nt
Organism: Prolemur simus (greater bamboo lemur)
Lineage: Eukaryota; Metazoa; Chordata; Mammalia; Primates; Lemuridae
Source: Ensembl
UUGCUUUGGUAGUGGAUAUACUAAAAUUGGAACAAUACAGAAGAGAUUAGCAUGGUGCUAGGCAAGGAUGACAGGCAAAUUUGUGAAGUGUUAAACAAAUCC